ACGGGUGAGUAACACGUGGGUAACCUACCCUCGAGUGGGGAAUAACCCAGGGAAACUUGGGCUAAUACCGCAUAACAUCAUUCUCUCUCUGGAGAGUUUGAAUAAAGGUGGGGAUCGCAAGACCUACCGCUUGAGGAGGGGCCCGCGCCUGAUUAGCUUGUUGGUGGGGUAAAGGCCUACCAAGGCUUCGAUCAGUAGCCGGCCUGAGAGGGUGAACGGCCACACUGGAACUGAGACACGGUCCAG
This 246-nucleotide ribosomal RNA is filed under the name uncultured bacterium. RNAcentral describes it as "partial 16S ribosomal RNA". It matches the Rfam family "Bacterial small subunit ribosomal RNA", at positions 102 to 334 of the family's 1533-position model. The record is from RNAcentral.